Molecule: ribosomal RNA, 253 nt
Filed under: uncultured bacterium
Lineage: Bacteria
Description: partial 16S ribosomal RNA
Rfam family: Bacterial small subunit ribosomal RNA
Source: RNAcentral
UACAGAGGGGGCAAGCGUUGUUCGGAAUUACUGGGCGUAAAGGGCGCGUAGGCGGCCCGCUAAGUCGAACGUGAAAUCCCCGAGCUCAACUCGGGAACUGCGUCCGAUACUGGCGGGCUUGAAUGCGGGAGAGGGAUGCGGAAUUCCAGGUGUAGCGGUGAAAUGCGUAGAUAUCUGGAGGAAUACCGGUGGCGAAGGCGGCAUCCUGGACCGACAUUGACGCUGAGGAGCGAAAGCUAGGGGAGCAAACGGG